CCUGGUGGCUCAGAGGUUAAAGCAUCUGCCUCCAAUGCAGGAGACCUGAGUUCGAUCCCUGGGUCAGGA
RNAcentral lists this transfer RNA (69 nucleotides) under Ovis aries (sheep). It matches the Rfam family "tRNA". From Rfam's summary of the family: Transfer RNA (tRNA) molecules are approximately 80 nucleotides in length. Their secondary structure includes four short double-helical elements and three loops (D, anti-codon, and T loops). The record is from Rfam by way of RNAcentral. Lineage: Eukaryota; Metazoa; Chordata; Mammalia; Artiodactyla; Bovidae.